This 377-nucleotide ribosomal RNA is filed under the name uncultured bacterium. RNAcentral's name for it is "bacterial SSU rRNA". It matches the Rfam family "Bacterial small subunit ribosomal RNA", at positions 523 to 898 of the family's 1533-position model. The record is from RNAcentral.
AUACGUAGGUGGCAAGCGUUGUCCGGAUUUAUUGGGCGUAAAGCGAGCGCAGGCGGUUUCUUAAGUCUGGUGUGAAAGCCUUCGGCUUAACCGGAGAAGUGCAUCGGAAACUGGGAGACUUGAGUGCAGAAGAGGACAGUGGAACUCCAUGUGUAGCGGCGGAAUGCGUAGAUAUAUGGAAGAACACCAGUGGCGAAGGCGGCUGUCUAGUCUGUAACUGACGCUGAGGCUCGAAAGCAUGGGUAGCAAACAGGAUUAGAUACCCUGGUAGUCCAUGCCGUAAACGAUGAGUGCUAGGUGUUGGAGGGUUUCCGCCCUUCAGUGCCGCAGCUAACGCAUUAAGCACUCCGCCUGGGGAGUACGACCGCAAGGUUGAA